RNAcentral lists this ribosomal RNA (270 nucleotides) under uncultured bacterium. RNAcentral describes it as "partial 16S ribosomal RNA". It matches the Rfam family "Bacterial small subunit ribosomal RNA", at positions 30 to 294 of the family's 1533-position model. The record is from RNAcentral.
AUUGAACGCUGGCGGAAUGCUUUACACAUGCAAGUCGAGCGGCAGCGCGGGGCAACCUGGCGGCGAGCGGCGAACGGGUGAGUAACACAUCGGAACGUACCCAGAAGUGGGGGAUAGCCCGGCGAAAGCCGGAUUAAUACCGCAUACGACCUGAGGGAGAAAGUGGGGGACCUAGGGUAACUUGGGCCUCACGCUUUUGGAGCGGCCGAUGUUCGAUUAGCUAGUUGGUGGGGUAAAGGCCUACCAAGGCGACGAUCGAUAGCUGGUCUG